GAGACUCUGUGCGCGUGCAUAUCAAUAAGCGGAGGAAAAGAAACUAACAAGGAUUCCCCUAGUAACGGCGAGUGAAGCGGGAAGAGCUCAAAUUUGAAAUCUUAAAGGGUUUCCCUUUACGAAUUGUAGUUUAAAGAAGUGUUUUCUGUUGGAGUUUCGGUAGAAGUUCUUUGGAAUAGGACAUCAUAGAGGGUGAGAAUCCCGUAUUUGACCGUUACUUUCCAGCUGUGUGAUACACUUUCAAAGAGUCGGAUUGUUUGGGAAUGCAGUCCAGAAUGGGUGGUAAAUUUCAUCUAAAGCUAAAUAUUGGCGAGAGACCGAUAGCGAACAAGUACCGUGAGGGAAAGAUGAAAAGAACUUUGAAAAGAGAGUUAAACAGUACGUGAAAUUGUCAAAAGGGAAGCGUUUGACACCAGUGUUGUUUAGUUGAAAAUCAAUUCAAUAGUUUUUGAUUCUAAGUAGUAUUGACUUCAUCAGCUUGCUGCUUUCUUCUCAGAAAUUAUUGAAUGCACUUUUCAGUUAACAAGUCAACAUUCAAUUUCUUUUGUUGUAAAAGGGUAAGAGGAAGGUGGCUUGCGCUUCGGCUCAAGUGUUUCAUAGCCUUUUAUCUCUGCAAUCGGAGAGAUUGAGGUCUGCAGCGUAGAUCCUUCGGGGUUAGAUACAUUGGUGCUAAGCUAUAGCCUUGUAUAGACAACUUGUUGACUAUGCUCAGUCAUGUAGCUUACUCGCUGAUGCUAUUUUACCUACGCUUAGGAUGUUGACAGCAGUAUAGACUGU
RNAcentral lists this ribosomal RNA (777 nucleotides) under uncultured Neocallimastigales. Its description in RNAcentral is "partial large subunit ribosomal RNA". It matches the Rfam family "Eukaryotic large subunit ribosomal RNA", at positions 23 to 638 of the family's 3401-position model. The record is from RNAcentral. Lineage: Eukaryota; Fungi; Neocallimastigomycota; Neocallimastigomycetes; Neocallimastigales.